UGGGUGAUGCGAGGUGACAGGCUCC
RNAcentral lists this non-coding RNA (25 nucleotides) under Mus musculus (house mouse). Lineage: Eukaryota; Metazoa; Chordata; Mammalia; Rodentia; Muridae. The record is from RNAcentral.